Molecule: unclassified non-coding RNA, 502 nt
Filed under: uncultured Diversispora
Lineage: Eukaryota; Fungi; Glomeromycota; Glomeromycetes; Diversisporales; Diversisporaceae
Description: SSU rRNA
Rfam family: Eukaryotic small subunit ribosomal RNA
Source: RNAcentral
CCAAUAGCGUAUAUUAAAGUUGUUGCAGUUAAAAAGCUCGUAGUUGAACUUCGGGGUCUACCCAUUGGUCAGGCUUAAUUGUCUGCACUGGUGAGAUGGAUCUCUACCUUCUGAGGAACUUUCAUGCCAUUUAUUUGGUGUGAUGGGAAAUCAGGACUGUUACUUUGAAAAAAUUAGAGUGUUUAAAGCAGACUAUCGUCUGAAUACAUUAGCAUGGAAUAAUGAAAUAGGACGGACUGAUUCUAUUUCGUUGGUUUCUAGGAUCACCGUAAUGAUUAAUAGGGAUAGUUGGGGGCAUUAGUAUUCAAUUGUCAGAGGUGAAAUUCUUGGAUUUAUUGAAGACUAACUACUGCGAAAGCAUUUGCCAAGGAUGUUUUCAUUAAUCAAGAACGAAAGUUAGGGGAUCGAAGACGAUCAGAUACCGUCGUAGUCUUAACCAUAAACUAUGCCGACUGGGGAUCGGACGAAGUUAAUUUUAUAAUGACGCGUUCGGCACCUUACG